AUUGUAGGGGUUGGUGAGUCCAGCCUGCCCUCUCUGGAGAGAAUGGCCUGAACUGUGUUACAGGGCAGGCCAACUGUGAUGUACAGUUAGUAGUAGGGCAACACUUCUGAUCUUCUGUUGUUUCUAUUAAACUUGAACUGAGAAAAAAAAAA
Long non-coding RNA from Mustela erminea (ermine), 152 nucleotides. RefSeq lists it as uncharacterized. The record is from RefSeq and is a predicted model, not a curated record. Lineage: Eukaryota; Metazoa; Chordata; Mammalia; Carnivora; Mustelidae. The transcript has 4 exons.